RNAcentral lists this transfer-messenger RNA (97 nucleotides) under Gammaproteobacteria bacterium. RNAcentral's name for it is "partial transfer-messenger RNA". It matches the Rfam family "transfer-messenger RNA", at positions 277 to 374 of the family's 374-position model. From Rfam's summary of the family: Bacterial tmRNA, also known as 10Sa RNA or SsrA, is named for its dual tRNA and mRNA-like properties. Lineage: Bacteria; Pseudomonadati; Pseudomonadota; Gammaproteobacteria. The record is from RNAcentral.
CCUACCACUCGCUGAAACUCCAAACAGGGAACUAAGCAUGUAGAAAGCUGUGCGGAGCUUUCUCUGGACGCGGGUUCGACUCCCGCCGUCUCCACAA